UUAGUCAGAUGAUUAACGUGUUUUUGAGCUGGAGGAGCAGAGUGUCAUGUAAUGAAAAUAUCAUUGUAGAAGGAAUUUCCAAAUUGGGGACAGCCUAGAAACCCAUCAUGUCUAAAUUCCUCGCUUUGUGAAUGUGGAAACCGACUCUUGGCCUGUUUGUUUGUUUUGUGUUUUUUGAGACAGGAUCUCUAUGCAGCCCUGCCCUGGAACUUGCUAUGUAGACCAGGCUGGCCUGGAAGUCCCAGGAAACUGUGUCUCUGCCCCCAUGAGUACUGGGACUAAAGGCGCGUGCACCCAUCAAGCCUGGCUAAACUGACACUUUUUUUUUUUUUUUUCUUUUUUAGGGAAGCUAUGGGGCUUCUGGCUCAAGAAAAGUCGGAGUGUAAUUUUUCCACUACAUCCUCACUCCCUUGCAAGACCCUGUGCAGCUCGAGUCUCCAGUCCUUAAUUCAUCCUGGGUGCCUGGCAGAGGGGGCAGAGGUACCUCCCCACCCCAUGAGGACUGGAGAAGAGAUAAGCCCCAAACCUGGAUGCUUCUCUUGGAAGUCAGGGCCUUGCAAGCAAGUGCUUUACCACUGAGCUACACCCCAAGUCCGCAAGCUGUUCUUUCGUUACCAUGAACCAAGAGGACAUUCCCCUCCCAUCUGUCUUCUGGAGCCCCUUCCCCUCACAUAAUGGCAGCAGUCACAUGUCACAGACUCUUCUGUCACUCUGGGGAGGGAUUUUGAAUUACCAACUCUUCCCUGAGGCUUUAUAAUACUUGUUCUUGUCCCCAAGUCUCCUAGAGCAUUUCUGAUUCCCCUUUUA
This is a long non-coding RNA of Peromyscus eremicus (cactus mouse), 807 nucleotides long. RefSeq lists it as uncharacterized. Lineage: Eukaryota; Metazoa; Chordata; Mammalia; Rodentia; Cricetidae. The transcript has 3 exons. The record is from RefSeq and is a predicted model, not a curated record.